Molecule: ribosomal RNA, 427 nt
Filed under: uncultured bacterium
Lineage: Bacteria
Description: partial 16S ribosomal RNA
Rfam family: Bacterial small subunit ribosomal RNA
Source: RNAcentral
UGGGGAAUAUUGCACAAUGGGCGCAAGCCUGAUGCAGCCAUGCCGCGUGUAUGAAGAAGGCCUUCGGGUUGUAAAGUACUUUCAGCGAGGAGGAAGGCGUUGUGGUUAAUAACCGCAGCGAUUGACGUUACUCGCAGAAGAGGCACCGGCUAACUCCGUGCCAGCAGCCGCGGUAAUACGGAGGGUGCAAGCGUUAAUCGGAAUUACUGGGCGUAAAGCGCACGCAGGCGGUCUGUCAAGUCGGAUGUGAAAUCCCCGGGCUCAACCUGGGAACUGCAUCCGAAACUGGCAGGCUAGAGUCUUGUAGAGGGGGGUAGAAUUCCAGGUGUAGCGGUGAAAUGCGUAGAGAUCUGGAGGAAUACCGGUGGCGAAGGCGGCCCCCUGGACAAAGACUGACGCUCAGGUGCGAAAGCGUGGGGAGCAAACA